This 508-nucleotide ribosomal RNA is filed under the name uncultured bacterium. RNAcentral describes it as "partial 16S ribosomal RNA". It matches the Rfam family "Bacterial small subunit ribosomal RNA", at positions 29 to 523 of the family's 1533-position model. The record is from RNAcentral.
AUUGAACGCUAGCGGGAUGCUUUACACAUGCAAGUCGAACGGCAGCGCGAAGGAAGCUUGCUUUCUUUGGCGGCGAGUGGCGAACGGGUGAGUAAUGUAUCGGAACGUGCCCAGUAGCGGGGGAUAACUGGCCGAAAGGUCAGCUAAUACCGCAUACGCCCUACGGGGGAAAGGGGGGGAUCGCAAGACCUCUCACUAUUGGAGCGGCCGAUAUCGGAUUAGCUAGUUGGUGGGGUAAAGGCCUACCAAGGCGACGAGCCGUAGCUGGUUUGAGGGGACGACCAGCCACACUGGGACUGAGACACGGCCCAGACUCCUACGGGAGGCAGCAGUGGGGAAUUUUGGACAAUGGGGGAAACCCUGAUCCAGCCAUCCCGCGUGUGCGAUGAAGGCCUUCGGGUUGUAAAGCACUUUUGGCAGGGAAGAAACGGCCUGGGAUAAUACCCUGGGCAACUGACGGUACCUGCAGAAUAAGCACCGGCUAACUACGUGCCAGCCGCCGCCGUAA